Non-coding RNA from Styela clava, 931 nucleotides. Lineage: Eukaryota; Metazoa; Chordata; Ascidiacea; Stolidobranchia; Styelidae. The record is from RefSeq and is a predicted model, not a curated record.
GUGAGUUUUUAUCAACACCGUCAUUAAAUAUAGCCCAUGUGACGACUGAUAGAGACGGGGUAAUUACUUGUUAUUGGUUUCAAUAUUAUUGGACACGAACUGUACAUAUCGUUAUGCUAUUAUGUUGUUGUUGUUUUUUUCAUGUUCAUUUCUUAGUAUCUUUUUGUUUAUAUUUCAGAAAUUUGAAAUCGGUGAUUGAAUUUCUUCAAACGUAAAAGGAAACGUUUUCAUUUGGGAGCAAGAGGAGUGACUUUCCGAUACGUCUCAAAUAUAAGAAAGUAUAAAUUGUCAAUCAGUGCUUGAAAGUAUUCAAUGAAAGUGAAAAACUUGUGGAGCAAGGUACGACUUUCCAGGCGUGUCUCAAGAAUAAGCAAGCUGCGUUCUGGUUGGAAAGAUCAAGGGACAGUCGACAACCGGACACGUACGUUGAACAUUCGAAAGAAUUGUCGUACCAUCUUGAUUAUAUAAAAGGUGUAUUUUAAUUUUUUUAUACAACCAUCUUUCUACCAGAUUUUGCCGGAUAUCGAAGCUUGUCCCAGUAGUGGCGUAUCUGCGUGAAAUGGCGCCUAUGGAAAUGUUUGAAAUGCGCCCUCUUGAUCGAUCGUUUACUGAAAUUUUUACCUACGGUUUGUUGCUUUGGGAUACUUUUACGUUAUUUAAGUAGUUUUUAUCAAAAUGUGGUUUCGCCCAUUGUGCGCUCUCAUCCAAAUGGCUCCCCUGGCAGUAAAAGUGGCCCUCUCGCUAUAUAUGUAUGCCACUGAGCCCAGGUAUCACCCAGAAAUUCACAAUUCUCAAUUACGUGUCUGAUCAUGGCAGAAAAGCUUGAUAUCUCAAUGUUGCUCGCUUUUAAACAAUCCGUAACUGCAUUACCUUCAAUAUCUCAACUUUAUCCACAUCCUCUCAUACUUUUUUUCCGAAGACUAGAUGUAGA